RNAcentral lists this ribosomal RNA (253 nucleotides) under uncultured bacterium. RNAcentral describes it as "partial 16S ribosomal RNA". It matches the Rfam family "Bacterial small subunit ribosomal RNA", at positions 524 to 776 of the family's 1533-position model. The record is from RNAcentral.
UACGUAGGGUGCGAGCGUUAAUCGGAUUUACUGGGCGUAAAGCGUGCGCAGGCGGCUUGCCAAGUCAGAUGUGAAAGCCCCGGGCUCAACCCGAGAACUGCGUUUGAAACUGGCAGGCUAGAGUUUGGCAGAGGGGGGUGGAAUUCCACGUGUAGCAGUGAAAUGCGUAGAGAUGUGGAGGAACACCGAUGGCGAAGGCAGCCCCCUGGGCCAAAACUGACGCUCAGGCACGAAAGCGUGGGGAGCAAACAGG